RNAcentral lists this long non-coding RNA (1434 nucleotides) under Gallus gallus (chicken). RNAcentral's name for it is "lncRNA (ENSGALG00010003940.1)". Lineage: Eukaryota; Metazoa; Chordata; Aves; Galliformes; Phasianidae. The record is from RNAcentral.
AUACUGCUUUGAAGUAUCUCUCACAAGAGUGGGAAGGAGUUUUCAUUUGAAUCUCUUUAAAAGAUGUUGACAGUGCAGUUCUGAAACUAACUCAUGCUCUUCGUUAAAGUUACCUGUAAAGCAGGUGAUAUACCCAGACAUGCUCACCUAAGAAAUGAGAUGAGCCUACUGAGGUGUAUGUGGCAGAAAAGAACAGUCUGAACGCUGCUGGUGUGGUUUGUUCCAGAACUACUGCAAUGAAUGAGAGAGCUCACCACAAACUGUAGCUCUAAGAUGCCUGUGGGGGAUUAGGCCUUGCUACAAAGUUGGGGGUUUAGAAUCUUUACCCCUUUGUAGGCAGGAAGUAGUGUUUUAUAAGGGUAAGAAAGUCAUAUUACUUCCUGAUACUUGCUAUUGCAAGCAUGCUGCUAGAUUUGAUCAGUACUGCUCUUGCUCCAUUGGUCUUAAAGGAACUAUGAUAGAUUUAAGUGAUCUUUCAAAAUGAAAGACACGGUGAACGAACUGCUGCACGAGGGAGCAAAAGUAUGAAGUCUCAAGUGUAUGUAAUCCUGCAUACCUGAAGAACUCUGGAAGGACACAUCUUCACCCUGAAAAGAAAGGGCAGAGAGCAGCAACUGUGUGUCCCUGUGGCAUUUUUUAGGUUGCUGGGAGGAACGAUGUAGAAAUGCCUUCUCACAGCUUGGUGGAAUCUGUACUUAGUCACUCAAAGGUGAAAGAAUUUUACAGGCACUGAGGCAUAGAAAGCGUGCUCUUCCAUCUACACCUCUGGUAUGGUGUGAGACAGGUCAGCACUUUGGUACUGCUGACUGAAGCUUCCAAAAGCAGAAAUAGUCUACAUCCCAAAGAGGACAUGAACACUGAAGACUUCCAGUUACAACAAGCUGCUAUUACCUUUAAUCCGGCUACUGGAGAAGAUUAUGGUUUACAGAUAGAAGACCGCAGGAUCUAUGCUUGUAUGGGGCUUGCCCAGGGCUUGACCACACUUUUCUACUUUACAAAAAGAAAUGAAAUUAAUCUCUGGGAGCAAAGUAAAAAAAGCAACAAAAUCCAAAAAACAGAGAGACAGAAAAAUACAUACUACUACUACUACCUUCUGGUUUGUUCCAUAUCCCACACAGCUUGAGCGAGAACUCAUAGUCCAGCUUUCCAAGUCCAUAGAAUUACUCUACUUGAGCUCGUCAUUUACCCAACUGCUUCUUUCCUUUUGUUUCCCACAAGUUUCCAGGAAGAUUUACCCUCCAAACAUCAAGUAGCUUUUGAAGAACUUAUCUUAAAUGCAUUUCCAACGUUUUAUGAUGGAGAAACGUGAAGUGCUGAUGAUCAAACCAAAAGUGGGCUCAGUUUUCCUACAGCGUCACUCAGGAGGUUGAAAGACACCAACGGCAGGGUUCUGACUCUAAACAAAGCUUUCUCUAUUAAAAUGGAUUAAAAAAC